This is a long non-coding RNA of Sapajus apella (tufted capuchin), 2882 nucleotides long. RefSeq lists it as uncharacterized. NCBI's taxonomy places the organism in Eukaryota, Metazoa, Chordata, Mammalia, Primates, Cebidae. The transcript is spliced from 2 exons. The record is from RefSeq and is a predicted model, not a curated record.
CCUAGGGAAGUAGAAAAACAAAUCCGGUAGCGUUGCUGGGGCCAGAGUAAAACCGGGGCGAGUCUCAGCGGUUUGAGGUUCUAGAAAGCUUUCACGUCUUAAGAGAAACACCUGCGGGUGAAGAGAGGCGUCAGCGGACUCUUGGAAGAGAUGAGAGCUGCAGGUCAGCUGGGUGGCUCUGCUUCAUCUUCUUCAUGUGCCUUGGACUAGUCAAGACAUGCUCUUCUCGUGGCGAUGACAGAGGUGCAAGAGGCCAGGCCCAACCACUCAAGCACAUUUCAUCCUCCUAUUUGUGUCACAUCUGCCAAGGCAAGUCACGCGGCCAAACCCAAAGUCAAGGAUUUGGGGAGGGAUAUUUCUCUUGUGGAGGUAAAAGGGGGAAGGAGUAAAUAUUUUGGAAAGGGCCAGCUACAGAAAAGUCAUUCAAGAGUGGGCUAUAGUUUGUUCGAUUAAAGGCAAGAGAAUUUUUGUUUUAGAGUUUUUCUUCUCAUUCUUCAUAAGUGAACAAGAAUGACUUUGCAGUGUACACCGCUCGGGUGAUGGGUGCACCAAAAUAUCAGAAAUCACCACUAAAUAACUUAUCCAUGUAAUCAGACACUACCUGUUUUCCAAAAACCUGUUGAAAUAAAAAUAAAUAAAUAAAAUCAAGCUAAAUGUCUUGUCAUUCAGAAACAAAAAAAAUAUGUAGAGAUGGUAUUGAUGUAGAAAUAGAGGCAUUUUGGGGUUUUAGAUAUUAAACAAAUAUGAAGAUUUCAUUAUCUGUUCAUGGUUAAACUGGCAUUGCCAAACUUUGAGGCCUGAAUCAAGCUUUGUCUGUUUUUAUUUUCCUGCAAGAUUCAGAUCCCAAAAGAAUUACUCUUAUUCUGAAUCCUGGCCAAGACUCAGUACAUACCAAUGAGUAUGCCUGUGGGUAAUUCUGCAAUCUGGAUAUCAAAAAAAACAGUCAAAUGGUCCAAAACUGAUAUUCCCUUAUCUGUACAGGAUUUCCCUAAUUGGUAACUAAUUUGUGCUUUAAGAUUUAUUCGAGCCCCUCAAUUUGGAAGGGGUUAAAGUUGAAGAUUACAACAGAUUUCACCAAGCUUAGUAUGCAUCAAUUCUUUUUUAUCCUAAGAAGGGGAGGAAAAUGUUUUCCUUACAUAGGAUUGAAAAGCCCUUAGUUAUAUUGUUCAUCUAUGGGAAGGAAAAUAACUGUUUUAAAACAAAGGAAGAGCAAAGAAAAUAGGGAUCAGAACAACAAGAAAUGUCCAUUAUGCUACUAGCACCAUAUGUGAACCACAGAGUGUCCAUAAACGAUGGUUGAUUUCAAUAGAAACAUUAGCUUGUACCUCCAGCUCUUGAGGGCAGUACAAAAAUCCAGAGCUGGGAGAUACCAGUAUGAUUUGCAAUCAUAACAAACCUCACAGAUCAGAUGGUUCUAGGACUGGAAUAUAAGAAUAGAUUGGUUUGAAUAGAAGAAGGAAAAAGCACUAGAAGACAGGCAAAGUGUAUGGGAAAGGUUUGGAGUCAAGAAUGAACAAAAAUGUUUAGGGGAUAAUGAGACCACCUUGACCCACAUAGGAAAGUGCUCAGAAAUUAGAUGGGUUCGAGAUCAUGGUGCCAGAUUAUAAGGGCCUUAAUAAGGGCAAGGAAUCUAAAUUGUUACACAGUAGAUGUUAGAAGCUGUUGGAAUUCCUUGGUGGGGAUAUUACUUAGUACAAACAACUUCAGUUGUCACAACAGACUAGUCUUCAUUGUGACUCUUGGCUAGCUUUUGACUUGGAGAUAGUAAUGAUCAUAGUGGACAAGAGGGGAUGAUUCAUGUGUGUUUCAGCUCCUUUACAAAUUUAAUUUUAGCCUGAAUCAUAGAAAGACUCUAAAGCCUUUUCCCAUGCAUUUGUUGGCAGCAGCGGCAUGUUCCCAUGGGAACACACACCACUUACCUACUCAAACCUUCCUUUUGCCCUCGGCUUUUAUUCAUUGAAAUGUUUAUCUUUUCUACAAAGCAUAUUUACACGUAAGCUUAGAGUACUGUCUAUUUUUUCUUCCACAACUGAGAAUUCAUCCUGAAUAUUUGCAGAUACAUAAAACUCCAGGUGUAACUCCAAGCAAAAUAUUAUUAAAGAAGGAAUUUGGAUAAACCUGGAAUGAUAACAUCACAUUGAACACCAUCUGGUGUAAACAUUUUACUUUUCUGCAGUGGCCAGAUGAAGGAAAUAUGGCUCUUUGUGCUUCUUCAGUGAUUAAUUCAGGAAGAAGCCUUUGCUGAGCUCAAAUAUAAAAUAGGAAGAACCCACCUUCUACAUGUUCGAGAAGGUUGUGAUCCCAGAAUGACACUGCCCUUUUCCUCUGCAAGAAAGAUGUUUCCCUUGACCAUCAUGCCAAAGCCACAAACACUUACAUUCCUCCAUAAUUCUGCACUGAACUCUGCUCACAUAGUACACAAUAAUUUCUCUACUACUUUGUUCCUCUUCCAAAUUCUAAUGGCUUGAAAUCCAAACUAGAGGAAGUUAAAUCAUAGCAACUGUACACUUUAGAGAAACUUUGAAUUUGGCUACUAGAGAUUUUCUGAGGUAUUGCUUUUCUUAAUUUAUAUGAAAACUGUUGAGCUAGGUUCUAGAUUAAGUGCUGGUGAUUCAGACAUGAAUAGGUCAUGAUGCCUCCUCUGGAGUGUUUCAGGGAAGACAGUUACAUAAAAACUAAGCUGUAAUAGAAUUUAAUAAGUCCUUUAAUGGAGGUAGAGAGUUCUGUGGAAACACAGAGAAAGAAUAAUUGCUGCUUCAGUUUCAAGGAGGACUUCACAGGGCAGAAGGCAUUUGGGCAAGUCUUGAAGGAUAAGCCAGGACUCCCUAAGUGGGAUGAGGGCACUUGAGGUGAAGAAAGAUGAAUAAAAGCAUCAAAGUGCA